Molecule: long non-coding RNA, 2225 nt
Filed under: Malus domestica (apple)
Lineage: Eukaryota; Viridiplantae; Streptophyta; Magnoliopsida; Rosales; Rosaceae
Description: long non-coding RNA (MDOM_LNC008710)
Source: RNAcentral
UCAGAGCCAUCAGGCUCACGCCAUGGAUUCUGAUGGUUUCUCUUCAUAGUAGUUUACAAUUUUUUUUUUUUUUUGUUGUCUCUUCCUAGUUUAGUUUCUCUUCAAAUUUCCAUUAGAUUCAGCGAUUGUUCUUGUGUUGAUUUUCUGUGCUCCGUUCUGUUCGCCAUUUGCAACGACGCUGUUGGGCUGCGAGAGAACCUUCGCAGUCAUGGUUCGAGAUUUUCGGUUCUUGAAUUGGGAAUUUUUCAUAUUUUCAUCAAGGUGUUCAAUGGCUCGGGUCCACUCUGGUUCAGGUUUCUGCGACUGAGAGCAGAGUUUGAUUUCUUUGCACCGUUGAUUCACUGCUUCUUCUUCAUGUUCUCUUGCUGAUGAGAGACGAGUAUGCAUGUUGCUCAUCUGGGUAAAUACUGCAAAGUUGUUGGGUGAAAAUAAUCACAUGGAUUAGUUGACAUCAGAGGGUAUAUUAGUUGUCAAUAAAAUCCAUACUCCCAAUCAUACGCAAAGGAUCAGAGUGGAGCUUCCUCCAAGCAUCGUUGGCAGAUUGAGGAUUUUCCUCGAAGAGAGCUCCCAGCGCGGUUGGCUAUUACUGCUUAGCGGGGAGGGACCUAUUUAUUGCUUGGCUCUGAUGGCAGACCGGCCUUCACGAAUGGGCACAGUGGCGUCCCCAUCUUCUUCUUCUUUCUAUCGACUGUUCGAAUUUUGUUGCUUCCCUUGCGAUUUUGCUAAACUUUAUCCAGCUCCAGGAUAAGCCUUCAGAAUUUCUCUUCUGUGUUGCUGAUUGGACAGUGGGAUCUUGGACUUGGUCAGGUUGUUUCUUGUAUUUGUCCUCUUCUUUAUGCAUAUAUGGUGUUUGUGAAAAUGUCUGAAUGAAACUAAAUGCCGCAAGGAGAUCGGUGAUCUGGAAAUUUGGUUCUUUCCGCUGUUAUCGUCUUCAAGGGUUGUUGCAGAGGUGCGAAAUCAGAGUGUUGGAUUCUUCUGGGCUUUAAUUCGAAGAUUAUAGUCAAUUUUUGAUUUCUGGGUUGCUAAAUUCUCAAGAUGUUGAAGUGGGAUAUUUCUGAUUGAUCUGGGAUAUAUGAGUUGAUUUGGGUGUUUGUGUUCAUCUGCAUAUAUUGUAUUGGAUAUGGUGAUGUGUUGAAAUACGAAGUUUUGUAGUCAAGAAAGUGUCAAUCUUUCCAGAAAGUGUCAUUAUUUCUGCAUCAAGAACGUGUGGGUACAAGAAAGUGUUAUUCUUUCUGCAUCAACAACGUGUGGGAGUUUCUACGAUUCUGAUGAUCUGGUGAAGACUUUCGCUGGUUUGGGUGCUGCUUGAAGAUUGGGUGUUUGGUGAUCUGAAACGGCGCUGUAUGGUUGUUUGGAGAUUUGGUGGUGCGAUUUUGGUAAAUCAGGUGAAUUCGUUUACUGGUUUUGUUUGUUGCUUAUUUCUUGAAGCUGUGGCCUUUGAUGUACUUUCGAGAUUUUAUUGAAGUGAAGAUUUGGAGCUUUUUUGGUAGAAUCUUGAUGUGUUGAUCUCUGCAAGUAUUAGUUUUCUUGUCAAUUUAAAGAAGAAAGUGUCAUUCUUUCUAUGAAUCUUGGAGUUUCAUUCUCCUAAGUUGCCGUAUGAUUUGGAGUUUCAUUCUCCUAAGUUACAUUAUGAUUUGUGUUCAUGGAGUGUCAGUCUCCUUAUUUGGUAUUUUUUUAGUAGAAGUUUGAGAUUUGUGUUGUGCUUUGGAGUGUCAUUCUCCUUGGCUGAUUUGGUUUCUUGGAGUGUCAUUCUCCUUGGUAGAUUUAGUUUCUUGGAGUGUCAUUCUCCGUGGUAGUUUAGUUUCUUGGGAGUGUCAUUCUCCUUGGUAGAUUUAGUUUCUUGGCAGUGUCAACUAUGGCUUCUCAGUUCACAGUCGAAAAUUUGUUUGGGUAUGUUCAGACCAAGACCACGAAGCACAGCUCUUUCUCCCGCAACCAUCGUGUACUUUGGAACAUCCUGUGCCAUCACAGAACCACCACCAAUAAAUGAGAAAUAGCCAACAUGGCAAAAUUGAUGAACGACAACAGCCUCAGUUUCAGCGUUCUAGCUCGUUCAACCUUCACUUGGCUACACCAAGUUCAGUUUGAGGGGGGAGUAUUAACCAUAGUCAUUAGUGAUGACAUGGUUACUUAGUAAUGAAGAAUAUAGUUAGUUGAAAUGUAUUGGUAGGUUGUCAUAAGGAUAAGAUUGGUUAGUAUAGUUAGAAGGGUAUUAUUGUAAUUAG